RNAcentral lists this ribosomal RNA (796 nucleotides) under uncultured organism. RNAcentral's name for it is "SSU rRNA". It matches the Rfam family "Bacterial small subunit ribosomal RNA", at positions 28 to 814 of the family's 1533-position model. The record is from RNAcentral.
GAUGAACGCUAGCUACAGGCUUAACACAUGCAAGUCGAGGGGCAGCAUGAACUUAGCUUGCUAAGUUUGAUGGCGACCGGCGCACGGGUGAGUAACACGUAUCCAACCUGCCGAUGACUCGGGGAUAGCCUUUCGAAAGAAAGAUUAAUACCCGAUGGCAUAGUUCUUCCGCAUGGUAGAACUAUUAAAGAACUUCGGUCAUCGAUGGGGAUGCGUUCCAUUAGGUUGUUGGCGGGGUAACGGCCCACCAAGCCUUCGAUGGAUAGGGGUUCUGAGAGGAAGGUCCCCCACAUUGGAACUGAGACACGGUCCAAACUCCUACGGGAGGCAGCAGUGAGGAAUAUUGGUCAAUGGACGAGAGUCUGAACCAGCCAAGUAGCGUGAAGGAUGACUGCCCUAUGGGUUGUAAACUUCUUUUAUACGGGAAUAAAGUGAGGCACGUGUGCCUUUUUGUAUGUACCGUAUGAAUAAGGAUCGGCUAACUCCGUGCCAGCAGCCGCGGUAAUACGGAGGAUCCGAGCGUUAUCCGGAUUUAUUGGGUUUAAAGGGAGCGUAGGCGGACGCUUAAGUCAGUUGUGAAAGUUUGCGGCUCAACCGUAAAAUUGCAGUUGAUACUGGGUGUCUUGAGUACAGUAGAGGCAGGCGGAAAUCGUGGUGUAGCGGUGAAAUGCUUAGAUAUCACGAAGAACUCCGAUUGCGAAGGCAGCCUGCUGGACUGUAACUGACGCUGAUGCUCGAAAGUGUGGGUAUCAAACAGGAUUAGAUACCCUGGUAGUCCACACAGUAAACGAUGAAU